Molecule: unclassified non-coding RNA, 202 nt
Filed under: Hevea brasiliensis (rubber tree)
Lineage: Eukaryota; Viridiplantae; Streptophyta; Magnoliopsida; Malpighiales; Euphorbiaceae
Source: RNAcentral
GCUCGACUGUACAUGCCCCUGCCGUAUGCCUUCUGGCCUAAUUCAAACAUCAACUGAGCCGUCGCUCUUCGUUCCGCCUGUUCUUUAGCUACCUUUUCAAGCUCCUUUCUCACUCUCAUCCUCUUUUCUUCCUCGGUUUCGUCUACGCCCUCGCUCCCUUCUUCCUCUAUUUUACUCUGUAAUUCUUCCGCUUUCUUCUCCA